RNAcentral lists this ribosomal RNA (499 nucleotides) under uncultured bacterium. RNAcentral's name for it is "SSU rRNA". It matches the Rfam family "Bacterial small subunit ribosomal RNA", at positions 26 to 521 of the family's 1533-position model. The record is from RNAcentral.
AGAUUGAACGCUGGCGGCGUGCCUAACACAUGCAAGUCGAGCGGUAACAGGUGUAGCAAUACAUGCUGACGAGCGGCGAACGGGUGAGUAAUGCUUUGGAAUCUUCCCAGUAGUGGGGAAUAACCAGUCGAAAGAUUGGCUAAUACCGCAUACGUCUGUAAAGGGAAAGCGGGGGCUCGUAAGACCUCGCGCUAUUGGAUGAGCCAAAGUCGGAUUAGCUAGUUGGUGGGGUAACGGCCUACCAAGGCGACAAUCCGUAGCUGGUCUGAGAGGACGACCAGCCACACCGGAACUGAGACACGGUCCGGACUCCUACGGGAGGCAGCAGUGGGGAAUAUUGGACAAUGGGGGAAACCCUGAUCCAGCGACGCCGCGUGUGUGAAGAAGGCCUGCGGGUUGUAAGCACUUUUAGUGGGGACAAAAGCUACGGAUUAAUACUCUGUGGUCUUGAUUUAACCCAAAGAAAAGCACCGGCUAACUCUGUGCCAGCAGCCGCGGU